RNAcentral lists this ribosomal RNA (1000 nucleotides) under Lactiplantibacillus plantarum. Its description in RNAcentral is "bacterial SSU rRNA". It matches the Rfam family "Bacterial small subunit ribosomal RNA", at positions 475 to 1476 of the family's 1533-position model. The record is from RNAcentral. Lineage: Bacteria; Bacillati; Bacillota; Bacilli; Lactobacillales; Lactobacillaceae.
GUAUUUAACCAGAAAGCCAGGGCUAAUUACGUGCCAGCAGCCGCGGUAAUACGUAGGUGGCAAGCGUUGUCCGGAUUUAUUGGGCGUAAAGCGAGCGCAGGCGGUUUUUUAAGUCUGAUGUGAAAGCCUUCGGCUCAACCGAAGAAGUGCAUCGGAAACUGGGAAACUUGAGUGCAGAAGAGGACAGUGGAACUCCAUGUGUAGCGGUGAAAUGCGUAGAUAUAUGGAAGAACACCAGUGGCGAAGGCGGCUGUCUGGUCUGUAACUGACGCUGAGGCUCGAAAGUAUGGGUAGCAAACAGGAUUAGAUACCCUGGUAGUCCAUACCGUAAACGAUGAAUGCUAAGUGUUGGAGGGUUUCCGCCCUUCAGUGCUGCAGCUAACGCAUUAAGCAUUCCGCCUGGGGAGUACGGCCGCAAGGCUGAAACUCAAAGGAAUUGACGGGGGCCCGCACAAGCGGUGGAGCAUGUGGUUUAAUUCGAAGCUACGCGAAGAACCUUACCAGGUCUUGACAUACUAUGCAAAUCUAAGAGAUUAGACGUUCCCUUCGGGGACAUGGAUACAGGUGGUGCAUGGUUGUCGUCAGCUCGUGUCGUGAGAUGUUGGGUUAAGUCCCGCAACGAGCGCAACCCUUAUUAUCAGUUGCCAGCAUUAAGUUGGGCACUCUGGUGAGACUGCCGGUGACAAACCGGAGGAAGGUGGGGAUGACGUCAAAUCAUCAUGCCCCUUAUGACCUGGGCUACACACGUGCUACAAUGGAUGGUACAACGAGUUGCGAACUCGCGAGAGUAAGCUAAUCUCUUAAAGCCAUUCUCAGUUCGGAUUGUAGGCUGCAACUCGCCUACAUGAAGUCGGAAUCGCUAGUAAUCGCGGAUCAGCAUGCCGCGGUGAAUACGUUCCCGGGCCUUGUACACACCGCCCGUCACACCAUGAGAGUUUGUAACACCCAAAGUCGGUGGGGUAACCUUUAGGAACCAGCCGCCUAAGUGACAGAGAUGGGA